UACGGGAGGCAGCAGUGGGGAAUAUUGCACAAUGGGCGAAAGCCUGAUGCAGCUAUGCCGCGUGUAUGAAGAAGGCCUUAGGGUUGUAAAGUACUUUCAUCGGGGAGGAAAAACAAAACUAAUAAUUUUAUUUCUUGACGUUACCCGAAAAAGAAGCACCGGCUAACUCCGUGCCAGCAGCCGCGGUAAUACGGAGGGUGCUAGCGUUAAUCAGAAUUACUGGGCGUAAAGAGCACGUAGGUGGUUUUUUUAAAGUCAGAUGUGGAAUCCCUGGGCUUAACCUGGAACUGCAUUUUGAAACUGAAAUACUAGAGUAUCGUAGAGGGAGGUAGAAUUCUAGGUGUAGCGGUGAAAUGCGUAGAUAUCUGGAGGAAUACCUGUGGCGAAAGCGGCCUCCUAAACGAAUACUGACACUGAGGUGCGAAAGCGUGGGGAGCAAACAGGGAUUAGAUACC
This 455-nucleotide ribosomal RNA is filed under the name uncultured bacterium. RNAcentral describes it as "bacterial SSU rRNA". It matches the Rfam family "Bacterial small subunit ribosomal RNA", at positions 340 to 786 of the family's 1533-position model. The record is from RNAcentral.